AUUGAACGCUGGCGGCAGGCCUAACACAUGCAAGUCGAGCGGUUGAAGGGAGCUUGCUCCUUGAUUCAGCGGCGGACGGGUGAGUAAUGCCUAGGAAUCCUCCUGGUAGUGGGGGAUAACGUCCGGAAACGGGCGCUAAUACCGCAUACUUCCUGAGGGCGAAAGUGUGGGCUCUUCGGACCUCACGUUAUCAUAUGAUCCUAGGACGGAUUAGCUAGUUGGUGGGGUAAAGACCUACCAGGGCGACGACCCGUAACUGGUCUGAGAGGAUGAUCAGCCACACUGGAACUGAGACACGGUCCAGACUCCUACGGGAGGCAGCAGUGGGGAAUAUUGGACAAUGGGCGAGAGCCUGAUCCAGCCAUGCAGCGUGUGUGAAGAAGGUCUUCGGAUUGUAAAGCACUUUAAGUUGGGAGGAAGCGCAGUAAGUUAAGACCUUGCUAUUUUGACGUUACCUACAGAAUAAGCGCCGGCUAACUACGUG
RNAcentral lists this ribosomal RNA (484 nucleotides) under uncultured bacterium. RNAcentral's name for it is "partial 16S ribosomal RNA". It matches the Rfam family "Bacterial small subunit ribosomal RNA", at positions 30 to 507 of the family's 1533-position model. The record is from RNAcentral.